GGCAGGACGUGUUCCAACAGAUCAAAGUUCAUGGAGCCAAGAUUCAAGGUGGAUGCCAGGAAGUACUUCCUGACAGUUAGGACCCCUAGGGCAUGGGAUGGGCUUCCAUGGGAGGUGGAUGAAGCCCCAUCGUUGAGGGUGUUGAA
Varanus komodoensis (Komodo dragon) is the source of this 146-nucleotide long non-coding RNA. RefSeq lists it as uncharacterized. The record is from RefSeq and is a predicted model, not a curated record. The transcript has 4 exons. NCBI's taxonomy places the organism in Eukaryota, Metazoa, Chordata, Lepidosauria, Squamata, Varanidae.